GAGAGAGGGAGGGAGGGAGGGAGGAGAGUAAUUGAUAAAGACCUCCUGCAGAGGGAGCUUGUAUUAGUUAUCCAAUUAUAGAAAAAAAUAUUGGCUGGAGACAGUUGUGUUUGUCUCGUUAUCUUAAAUUGCCAUAUAAUGCAAAUUAUGUGUUCUGAAACUAGGUCAUCUGAAUUUUCAAUAUGCAGAUUGUUUGCAAACUAUAAAUUGCUUAUUGUUGUUGUCUUUUUUUUCCCUGUCAUUUGUGAGAGUCCAUACCUGUGGCAUGUGCUAAGUUCCCUCUUGCUGCAGUUUAUUUAAACCAGCUUAAAUUGCUUGCUUGGUGUUUCAUUUUUUCUUCCUGCGUGCAUCUUGUUUGUAUUGAACUGUGUCAAGUUGUGCUUUAUCUUGAUUAUUGGCACUUUUAGGAGCAUGCCAACAUCAGCUGCCCUUGAUGUUGUGGCCAAGCAUCUGAAUUUGAAAUUUUUUGAGGUAUUCUAGUUCACAAAAUCUUUUAUUAUUCUUCCCUGCUGUUGGCAUUCAAGCCUCAAGGCAUUUAAUUUGGUUAUUUACUGUUCAAUGCCAGGUCCCCACUGGCUGGAAGUUUUUUGGCAAUUUGAUGGAUGCAGGAUUGUGUUCAAUUUGUGGGGAAGAAAGUUUUGGAACAGGCUCAGACCAUAUACGUGAGAAAGAUGGCAUAUGGGCGGUUCUGGCUUGGCUAUCUAUACUGGC
Molecule: unclassified non-coding RNA, 711 nt
Filed under: Hevea brasiliensis (rubber tree)
Lineage: Eukaryota; Viridiplantae; Streptophyta; Magnoliopsida; Malpighiales; Euphorbiaceae
Source: RNAcentral